RNAcentral lists this ribosomal RNA (776 nucleotides) under uncultured Neocallimastigales. RNAcentral describes it as "partial large subunit ribosomal RNA". It matches the Rfam family "Eukaryotic large subunit ribosomal RNA", at positions 18 to 616 of the family's 3401-position model. Lineage: Eukaryota; Fungi; Neocallimastigomycota; Neocallimastigomycetes; Neocallimastigales. The record is from RNAcentral.
UUCAGACGAUGCGUCAUGCAUAUCAAUAAGCGGAGGAAAAGAAACUAACAAGGAUUCCCCUAGUAACGGCGAGUGAAGCGGGAAGAGCUCAAAUUUGAAAUCUUAAAGGGUUUCCCUUUACGAAUUGUAGUUUAAAGAAGUGUUUUCUGUUGAGGUUUUGGUAAAAGUUCUUUGGAAUAGGACAUCAUAGAGGGUGAGAAUCCCGUAUUUGACCUUUACUUUCAACUUUGUGAUACACUUUCAAAGAGUCGGAUUGUUUGGGAAUGCAGUCCAAAAUGGGUGGUAAAUUUCAUCUAAAGCUAAAUAUUGGCGAGAGACCGAUAGCGAACAAGUACCGUGAGGGAAAGAUGAAAAGAACUUUGAAAAGAGAGUUAAACAGUACGUGAAAUUGUCAAAAGGGAAGCGUUUGACACCAGUGUUGUUUUUCUGAAAAUCAAUUAAAGAACUGUUUAUGCUAAGCUGUUUAGACUUUAUCAGCUAUCUGUUUAGUUUUUGAGCUUUUCUUUAAUGCACUUUUCAGUUAACAAGUCAACAUCAAUUUCUUUUGCUGUAAAAAAGCUUGAGGAAGGUGGCUUGAGAUUCGUCUUAAGUGUUUAUAGCCUCUUGCCUAUGCAGUCGGAGAGAUUGAGGUCUGCAGCGUAGAUCCUUCGGGGCUAAAUGCAUUUGUGCUAAGUUAUAGCAUUUUAUAGACAACUUGUUGACUAUGAUUUGUCUUGUAGCUUACUCGCUUAUGUUAUUUUACCUACGCUUAGGAUGUUGAGCGCAUGUCUCUCUCU